Aegilops tauschii subsp. strangulata is the source of this 1177-nucleotide non-coding RNA. Lineage: Eukaryota; Viridiplantae; Streptophyta; Magnoliopsida; Poales; Poaceae. The record is from RefSeq and is a predicted model, not a curated record.
GUGAUCUCUCCUGUUUAAUCAGCUCACACAAAAAUCUGAUAUUACCCCCCAUCCAUCACCAGCUAGCAAAAGUGUACAAGAUAAAGCAUCCCCGUAAAGUGGAGGCCGCUCCAAAUGAGCCCAUCUUGAGGUUUGGUAUCCUUACGAGCCAUAGUGUUUCGCCUUCUUAGUGGACGGUGCGCAACAAGGGUGUCAGUCAGUUUGUUCAUGUAAAUGUUCACCCUCUAGUUCUCCAUCCAUUCACUUUUUGCAUAUUCUCUACGUCUUGCAGGAACUGUCUCCUGAUGUGUGUUCUCAACUUGUGCAAAGAGCUACUGGAUGGCAUCCCCAAAGUUGUUGCAUGAACACCGUCAAGAUGGCUAUCUGGGCCAAGGUAUGCAUGCAAAUGAUUAAUUUCUCACUAUUUUAGGUGCAGGAUGAAAGAGGAAUGAUGCCAUCAUGAACUCUAACUCAAGUGGCAUGAAGAACGAAUACAACACAUUUUUGAAUUGAUGGUCCACCAUAACAGAAGCUUCACAAGGCAUUGUAGUCAUUGACAAAGAAUGAUAUGCACUCAAAUACAAGGACUUAUAAUGUUGUCCCAUGGCCGAAGAUUAUGAAGAAAAAAAGACACUUUUGUAGUUAGACAUGAAUGACUACAAUGCUUGUCUAGAGAGUGUUUUUCGUUCAUAAUUUUUAAUGGUAUUUUUAACUUCAACAUUGCAUCAUGUUCAACAUAUGUGUUUUUGAUUAAUGAAAACAGGUUGUGAUACAUUGACUAUUCAAAUUAUUUUGGUUCUUAAUUGGUGUGGUUGAUAAUAGUCAAAAGUUACAAGUAACAUAAAAUAAUAUUUGUAAAAGUUAAGAUUGGUUGUUACAGGCAAGAAAAAUGGUGAGAUGGAUGGUCAUUGACAAUAUAAAGUGGUAAUUAUUAAUAUUUUAAUAACCAUGAAAUGUUUCAAACGAUGGGAUAAGUGGUCGCUAGUACACGAAUUGUUGUCGUUAUUUUCUCACAAUUAACGACAACACAUUGUCCCAUCGUUAUAAAAUAACGACGGGAAAAUGUGGUAGUUAUACUUUUAACGACGGAGCCUACUACGGCCACAAAGAUGUGGUCAUUAGUGACUUUCAACGACCGCAUUCUCACUUUUAACGACCACAUAUCCCGUCGUUAAAAAUCAUUUUCCUAGUAGUGUAA